Molecule: transfer RNA, 73 nt
Filed under: Merluccius polli (Benguela hake)
Lineage: Eukaryota; Metazoa; Chordata; Actinopteri; Gadiformes; Merlucciidae
Rfam family: tRNA
About the family: Transfer RNA (tRNA) molecules are approximately 80 nucleotides in length. Their secondary structure includes four short double-helical elements and three loops (D, anti-codon, and T loops). Further hydrogen bonds mediate the characteristic L-shaped molecular structure. tRNAs have two regions of fundamental functional importance: the anti-codon, which is responsible for specific mRNA codon recognition, and the 3' end, to which the tRNAs corresponding amino acid is attached (by aminoacyl-tRNA synthetases). tRNAs cope with the degeneracy of the genetic code in two manners: having more than one tRNA (with a specific anti-codon) for a particular amino acid; and 'wobble' base-pairing, i.e. permitting non-standard base-pairing at the 3rd anti-codon position.
Source: Rfam by way of RNAcentral
GUUUCUGUGUGUAGUGGUUAUCACGUUCUCUUUACACGCGAAAGGCUCCCUGGUUCGAAACCGGGCAGAAGCA